Apis laboriosa (Himalayan honeybee) is the source of this 810-nucleotide long non-coding RNA. RefSeq lists it as uncharacterized. NCBI's taxonomy places the organism in Eukaryota, Metazoa, Arthropoda, Insecta, Hymenoptera, Apidae. The record is from RefSeq and is a predicted model, not a curated record. The transcript has 4 exons.
CUCUUGUAUAAUACAUGUGAUGAAAAUGUGGAACGAGUUGUGGAUCAAAUUAAUAAUAUCUCGAACGUGUUUGAAACGCAAUAAUUGAAUCUCGAAUCGUUAGCCGAAUUGUCGUACACGUGCAAUGAAACACGAAUAUGGCUUUGUCAUUAUUGUGAAAAGAUAUUUAGAUACUUUCCAAAACAUGCUAUUUCUAUCUACGAAAUAUGCUUUCCUAUCGUAGAUAUCUUGCAAAAUCUUGACACACGUGGCACACGAUAGAGAGUGAGAAAUAAUUAAAGAUGAUUUAAGAAUAACUUUUAGAAUCCCUUUCGAAGAACUUGUAAAAAAAUGUACCUGGUUGCGCCCAUACGGUCGCGAUGUCUAACUUAAAGCUGCCCAGCGUUAGAUUAGCGCGUAAGAGAUUCCGCGAUUGCUGCACCUGCAUAUCAAUACAAGGUACAUUGUAUAAGUUUAUUUUUACUUGUAUUCGCGUUUCUCACGAAAACUACGACUACCGGUGACCUAACCGUAUUUUUUUUCUCAAUUUUCUUGAGAAGCAGCAAAUUGCUGAAAUACCUGGAAUAUAUGUGUGGUAACAAAGAUAGAAAUCCUCCAUUCUUACCUCCAUUCUUACCAAUCUUUAUCAGUGUUUUGAAUCUCCUUCGUGUUUCUGGUAUCAUAUAAUUUAACUAAUAACAAUAAUGGUAUAAAAAAUGUAAUUGAAGAGAAUUGCAUUUUUUGAAAAAAAUAAAUCCAAAAGAAAUUAAAUAAAGAUACGAAGGUUGGCGAGAUAAGGUUAAAUCAAUAAUGGACUCAGUGUUGAACCUA